Molecule: ribosomal RNA, 253 nt
Filed under: uncultured bacterium
Lineage: Bacteria
Description: partial 16S ribosomal RNA
Rfam family: Bacterial small subunit ribosomal RNA
Source: RNAcentral
UACGAAGGGGGCUAGCGUUGCUCGGAAUCACUGGGCGUAAAGGGUGCGUAGGCGGGUCUUUAAGUCAGGGGUGAAAUCCUGGAGCUCAACUCCAGAACUGCCUUUGAUACUGAGGAUCUGGAGUCCGGGAGAGGUGAGCGGAACUGCGAGUGUAGAGGUGAAAUUCGUAGAUAUUCGCAAGAACACCAGUGGCGAAGGCGGCUCACUGGCCCGGAACUGACGCUGAGGUGCGAAAGCGUGGGGAGCAAACAGG